CAGUGGCCUAGUGGUUAGGGUACUCACCUUGGAUGCAGGAGGUUGCUGGUUUGAACCCCAGCCAUGUCGU
Potamilus streckersoni is the source of this 70-nucleotide non-coding RNA. The record is from the annotation of a GenBank genome assembly. NCBI's taxonomy places the organism in Eukaryota, Metazoa, Mollusca, Bivalvia, Unionida, Unionidae.